This is a non-coding RNA of Nicotiana tabacum (common tobacco), 1245 nucleotides long. Lineage: Eukaryota; Viridiplantae; Streptophyta; Magnoliopsida; Solanales; Solanaceae. The record is from RefSeq and is a predicted model, not a curated record.
AGGAUCAUCAUUGUUUACAUCGCCUCUCUUUUUCUUUCUCCACUGUCAAUAUAUGGCUUAACUAUCGCUUGGGUGUUGAUGUGAUAGUUGGUAUUAAUAUAAUGUGCCUUGACCGCCUUCAACUUCCGCAUCGUAUGAUUACUGCUGACACAUAAUUCAUUCUUCUGACUCGAUCAAGGCGACAAUGUUCUCUGCUUCAUGAUUUUCCCAGGAGUACGUUAGAGUUGGACUCUCCUAGAGACUGUUGUAUUGUAGGCUUGUCUCUGUUUAUUCUUUUUGGACCUUCCAAUCUACAAAGAAAACUUUAUAGUGAUCAAGAUUCUAUAUAUUAAUUCCCAAUGGAAACUUCUAAUUCCUUGACUUCAAUUUCCUAAAGGAAUUAAAUAUUGUUCUCCUCUGUAUAUCAUUGUAUUAUGUCAUUAUGCUGACACUUGAAAUCAGCAUUUGAUGUUAUUUGCUGUGUUCAUCUGAUCGUAGAUUGAAAUACAUCAGAUUUUGUGAAUCAUGCUGCUGUAUUUGAUUAUUGAUGAUUUAAUUCCAUUGAUAAGCUGAAGAAAAUUAAGUCAGAUUUUCUGUGGGCCUAAAGUUGUUUAGCAUACAUAUGUUGCGUUUUCAGUUGUAGUUCUAAAGAUGUAGCUUAAUUCUAAUACUUGGCAUUUAAUCAGAUUGCAAUGAUGAUGCAUGAUGAAUGUCAGAGAGUACAAGCAAAGUGAAAUAUCCAUGUGGUAUUGCAAUGAUGAUUUAUGAUGUCGGAGGGUUCAACCGAAGUAUUAUGUCCAUGCAGUCUAAGAGAAUGUCUGAAAACUAGAGUACUGUAUGAGCUCCGAAGAAGAAAUAUUUGGUUUCUUCUGCGACUGUCAUUUGAUUUGUUAGACUGGGAUCGUUUUCCCUUUCAGUGAAUUCUAACUUCUUUUGAAGUAUUUGUUAAGUAUUUACUUGUUGAAUUCCUCUGAAACUCAUUGUGCUAAUAGAUUAUGUGAGAACUAAAUAUAAAGAAAGAGCAUGGCUCAGAUGCAUCACUUUUGACAAUGGCUUUUCCUUGUUUAGGGCUGUGACUACAUGCUUAUUGGCUUCCUUUCGGCUUCAAGAUUUUUUAACUGUUCCCAAAUUUGUUACUAUGUAAUCUAUGAACUUCAAUAAGACUUCUUUGAACAAAGUGUUUAGAAUCAUAUUGAUACCUUAUGUAUCCACCUUUUUGCCAACUUUUGGUGCUUGUUAUAUGGGUAACUGAUUAUUUCUGUGGCC